Molecule: ribosomal RNA, 144 nt
Filed under: uncultured eukaryote
Lineage: Eukaryota
Description: partial 18S ribosomal RNA
Rfam family: Eukaryotic small subunit ribosomal RNA
Source: RNAcentral
UGGUGGAGUGAUUUGUCUGGUUAAUUCCGAUAACGAACGAGACCUCCGCCUGCUAAAUAGUCACGCGAUGGCCUGUCCAUCCGCGGGUUGUACUUCUUAGAGGGACUAUGCACGGUAAGUGCAUGGAAGUUGGAGGCAAUAACA